This 607-nucleotide long non-coding RNA is filed under the name Prunus persica (peach). RNAcentral describes it as "long non-coding RNA (PPER_LNC002849)". The record is from RNAcentral. Lineage: Eukaryota; Viridiplantae; Streptophyta; Magnoliopsida; Rosales; Rosaceae.
UGAGAUACCAAACCCAAUUUUCUGUUUCUUGUUUUCUCCUACGUAUAAAUAUCAUUUUUUAAGCUCAAAAUUGAUCGUGAAAUCCCGGAAACGCAGGAAAAUGAAAGAAAUUGAAAGUUCCGAUCCGUAAACAAACUCGCUGUUUAAUUGACCAUUUCUAUGGUUCCAGAGGUUCAUUUUCUUCUGUUUUCUCGAAUAUUCUCAGCAACCAAACGAAGCGUAAGCAAGGUGAUCCAUAUAUUUUCUUGGGCACCUUCUGCGUUUUUGAAGAUUAGGUUCGUUAGGGUUUUAAUGCGCUAUUGAUCUGUGGCUCUAUUGGAUAGUUUUAUUAUUCUGCGUCUUUGAUUAGUAUAUUAUGGCCCAUCUUUGAGCUUUGGAUUUAUUUCGGGGAAAUGGAAUUGAAAUUUCCAUUCUUUUUUCUUUUUUUCUUUCUUAGGUUCUCAGGUUAUUGUGUAAAUAUAAUUCAUUGUCGUUAAUAAGGGGUUGAGGACCUAGAAUGCAAUUGUUUUGGGUUUAUUCUGCUUAAUGUUGAGAAUUUAAUAAGUUUUUCAAUUUGUUUCAGAGAAUUCAAUUCAAAUGAGCAGUUGCUUGUGCUGCUUUUGCGGAG